CGCAGAGAGAACCCCUUGGGAAGAAAUGCCAAGUCAGUCUGGAACACAGGCUAGUUCCACCUCCCCCGUGACACUUGCUAACGUUGCUUCGCUGAUGUCCACAGAAAUUGUUGCAGUGUUUACAAAUAAAUCUCCAAAUAUUUAACAAAAGUGGUGCAAAAUACGCUAACUAGGUCUCAGUGUUCUUAACGAAACGGGACAUUUUUCCAAACGCAGUGCUGAAUUGGGCUUUGUUUCUUUUUAAAAUCGCUUCACUUCCUCCUUCCUUCCGUUUCACCGGCAGAGUGUGAGGGGUCAAGAAUGUUUUGUGAGUUUAGAUACAUUUAGAUAAAUUGCUCAAAUCGCCCAAGGUGACCCUAUAGACUAGUAUCCUGGUUCGCCCAGACAAGCGUCCCGCUGCCGUCAGCGCGCGGUUAUGAACAGCAUCCCCUCGCUCUUAAAGGUCUUGGUGUGGACGGUCCACCACCUCGUACAUAGGAAAAGGAGAGGCACCUGCACGUGGCGGCGUAUCUGGAAUCGAGGUACUUACCGCGGAAGAAUGAGGACUCCAAAGAUUUAGUAAUGUGCACCCCACAUCUGCUUGCAUCUCUGGCCAGUCGAAAGCUGGUAAGGGAAACUCACCGUUGUCCCUCGUCAACCUCGUCAGGUCUGUUUUACUGUGCGGGUCAAAAGGCAAGGCGGAAAGAAGGACUGGUGCCUGAGGAAGGCUUCCAGGAGGAACAGAGAGGCCAGGGGCUCCGGCAGCGACUCUGCAGCUACCAUUCCUGCUAUCAGCAAAGACUGAAGAGGGGUGAUGGGAGAGAGGCCCGCGGCCGCCACAGAGCAAGGAAACCAGAAGGAUGGUGGGAGGGGAGGUGUAGAAAACACAGUGAGGUUUCUCGACUUACUUUUCUCCUGCCUUCUGAACAUUCAAUUCCCACUGGGAACUAAAGGUCCUCUCCCCAAUCCUUGCUUCCCAUCCCACGAACUGAAAUAACAAGGUCCGUGAAGCCAAGGAUGGGAUGGGACAGCUCCUCCGAAGGAGCUCAUUUCAGUAACAGCGCCGAGUGGGAGGGCCGGUCUUUUGUACUUCACCAAAGUGUCCCAACUGUUGAAAAUUUCAAACUGGUCCGUUAGUAGAAAUAAUGAGUUAAAUUUUUUCAUGGAAGCAACUGAAUUGUGUACUGGCAUGCUUAGGUUUAUAGAAACGACAAAAUUUAUUGUCCUCUAGAAUAAACAUGGAAUAAUUAAAUACCCUGAAUGUCCCCCAUCGAGCUAAGGCGGUGAUACAACAGUCCCCGCCGGCGUUGCUCUGAGGCCCAGGGC
Molecule: long non-coding RNA, 1305 nt
Filed under: Equus caballus (horse)
Lineage: Eukaryota; Metazoa; Chordata; Mammalia; Perissodactyla; Equidae
Description: lncRNA (ENSECAG00000056978.1)
Source: RNAcentral